Oreochromis aureus is the source of this 1909-nucleotide long non-coding RNA. NCBI's taxonomy places the organism in Eukaryota, Metazoa, Chordata, Actinopteri, Cichliformes, Cichlidae. The record is from Ensembl.
CUUCAUUUCAACUCUGUAAUCAGUGAAUAAAAACCCUUUUACUACCAUUUUAAGACAGACACUUUGUACUUUUAAUAAAACAUUAUUGGUUUUGGAGAAUACUGAGGUUUAAGAGUACUACAAAAAUGUAGGCCUAUGUAUGUGUAUGAAGUGUUCAGAUGCAAAAAUUUAAUCUGAAGGAUUUAUUUGAAAUUUACACAGUAUCACUGAGAAAAGCUAGAUAGACAUGUACAAUACAUGUGCAACUUUUCUUCUUCUUUUUCUUCUUCUUGCUCCCCUCAGGGGUCACAACAGAGAAUCAUCUGCCUCCAUCUCCUCCUGUCCCUAGCAUCCUCUUCUGUCACACCAACCCUCUGCAUGUCCUCCUUCACUACAUCCAUGAAUAUUCUCUGUAGUCGUCAUCUUCUCCUCCUGCCUGGCAGCUUCCUUGUCAACAUCCUUUGUCUAAUAUUUCCACCAUCCCUCCUCUGCACAUGUCCAAACUUUUUCUACCUUGCCUCUCUAACUUCGUCUCCAAACCACUCAACCUUAGCUGUCCUGCUGAUGCACUGAUUUCUGAUCCUGGCUAUUCUGGUCACUCCCAGUGAAAAUCUUAACAUUUUCAGCUCAGCUAUACUCACUUUCAGCUCAGCUAUACUCACUCAGUCAUCCAGGUCCUGGAUGACUGAGAACCUUCACAGACAUACUCACCCAAAAAACAUUUUUCAUCUAGAAUAAUUCUACAGUUUGAUCCUUGUAUGUUGCUGACUCUAAAAAAGUAGAAGCAUCUCAUUUGUAGGUUAUACACCCUUAAAUAAGUUUAGUUGAUAGUUUAAUGAGUAAUGGCCAGAAGCCAAAAAAAGAGAAAAGCAAACUGUUGUGGAAGAUGAGAUGACAGCAAUGGGAGGAGAAUCUGAAGCCAGGCAUUAUGUAUUAUUCAGUGGAUUAAAUCGAGAGUUGACAAACAAAGUCAAACAUUGAGGUUAGGAGUGUGUCACCCCUGCAGUGAAUGAAAUGAGGCAGAAACACACCCAAAACUACACUACCCCAGCAUAAACAGCAGGAAAACCACUGAAGUCAAGCCUAGAAAGAAACUGAAGACUAAACUACAUGUGAUCUUCUGCUUACGUUAUACUAAGCCUGUGUGGUCUUCUGCUGCCGUAGCCCAUUUGCGUCAAGGUCUGAUGGGUUGUGCAUUCAGAGAUGCUCUUCUGCAUACCUUGAUUGUAACAAGCAGUCUGACCAUUCUCCUCUGACCUCUGACAUCAACAAGGUGUUUUCACCCAGCGAUCUACCACUCACUGGAUAUUUUCCCUCUUUUCAGAUCAUUCUCUGUAAACCCCAGAGAUGAUUGUGUGGGGAAAAUCCCAGUAAAUUCUGAAAUACUCAGACCAGCAAAUCUGGCACCACCUUUCUUCCCAAUUCUGAUGCUCAGUUUAAACUUCAGCAGGUCAGCUACACCAGUCUUUCCCAAACACUGAGAAAUGAUCAGGCGUGCCGUGGAAGAUUAUCUGGUUCCACCUCAUUAGUACUCUAAGCGACCAGCGUUAGUAACAGGCAGAGUAAUUACAUUCUCUUCCACUAGAGGGCAGUACAACUACCUGCUCUAAUUAAAUGGGUUGCCAACUGUUAAGGUUCAAAAAUAUAGGGAAGGAAACACAGGAGGAAUGCAAGUAACCACACUGGUCCAAAGGGUAAAGACGAUGAUUUUAAUGAAAUGACACGCGUGGGAGAAUGAGCGGACUCCGUAAGCAGACAGCCCCACAAUCUCAUCCUCCUAACAUCAAAAUACAGUUUUAUAUGCAUCAGAGUAUAUUUAGUGACGCCCCCUCAUUGCGUCAUCACAUACAUCAGCUUCAAAACCACAAAUGUUCUAUUUGACAGCUUAAGGCACAAUUAAAAGUACACUGGCUUCCAUCUUCUCCCGGUG